GUGACUGCGUACCUUUUGUAUAAUGGGUCAGCGACUUAUAUUCUGUAGCAAGGUUAACCGAAUAGGGGAGCCGGAGGGAAACCGAGUCUUAAUUGGGCGUUAAGUUGCAGGGUAUAGACCCGAAACCCGGUGAUCUAGCCAUGGGCAGGUUGAAGGUUGGGUAACACUAACUGGAGGACCGAACCGACUAAUGUUGAAAAAUUAGCGGAUGACCUGUGGCUGGGGGUGAAAGGCCAAUCAAACCGGGAGAUAGCUGGUUCUCCCCGAAAGCUAUUUAGGUAGCGCCUCGUGAAUUCAUCUCCGGGGGUAGAGCACUGUUUCGGCUAGGGGGCCAUCCCGGCUUACCAACCCGAUGCAAACUGCGAAUACCGGAGAAUGUUAUCACGGGAGACACACGGCGGGUGCUAACGUCCGUCGUGAAGAGGGAAACAACCCAGACCGCCAGCUAAGGUCCCAAAGUCAUGGUUAAGUGGGAAACGAUGUGGGAAGGCCCAGACAGCCAGGAUGUUGGCUUAGAAGCAGCCAUCAUUUAAAGAAAGCGUAAUAGCUCACUGGUCGAGUCGGCCUGCGCGGAAGAUGUAACGGGGCUAAACCAUGCACCGAAGCUGCGGCAGCGACGCUUUGCGUUGUUGGGUAGGGGAGCGUUCUGUAAGCCUGCGAAGGUGGCCUGUGAGGGUUGCUGGAGGUAUCAGAAGUGCGAAUGCUGACAUAAGUAACGAUAAAGCGGGUGAAAAGCCCGCUCGCCGGAAGACCAAGGGUUCCUGUCCAACGUUAAUCGGGGCAGGGUGAGUCGACCCCUAAGGCGAGGCCGAAAGGCGUAGUCGAUGGGAAACGGGUUAAUAUUCCCGUACUUGGUGUUACUGCGAAGGGGGGACGGAGAAGGCUAUGUUGGCCGGGCGACGGUUGUCCCGGUUUAAGCGUGUAGGUGUGUGUUCCAGGUAAAUCCGGUUCACUUUAACACUGAGGCGUGACGACGAGGCACUACGGUGCUGAAGCAACAAAUGCCCUGCUUCCAGGAAAAGCCUCUAAGCAUCAGGUAACAUCAAAUCGUACCCCAAACCGACACAGGUGGUCAGGUAGAGAAUACCAAGGCGCUUGAGAGAACUCGGGUGAAGGAACUAGGCAAAAUGGUGCCGUAACUUCGGGAGAAGGCACGCUGACACGUAGGUGAAGUGAUUUACUCAUGGAGCUGAAGUCAGUCGAAGAUACCAGCUGGCUGCAACUGUUUAUUAAAAACACAGCACUGUGCAAACACGAAAGUGGACGUAUACGGUGUGACGCCUGCCCGGUGCCGGAAGGUUAAUUGAUGGGGUCAGCGCAAGCGAAGCUCCUGAUCGAAGCCCCGGUAAACGGCGGCCGUAACUAUAACGGUCCUAAGGUAGCGAAAUUCCUUGUCGGGUAAGUUCCGACCUGCACGAAUGGCGUAAUGAUGGCCAGGCUGUCUCCACCCGAGACUCAGUGAAAUUGAACUCGCUGUGAAGAUGCAGUGUACCCGCGGCAAGACGGAAAGACCCCGUGAACCUUUACUAUAGCUUGACACUGAACAUUGAGCCUUGAUGUGUAGGAUAGGUGGGAGGCUUUGAAGUGUGGACGCCAGUCUGCAUGGAGCCGACCUUGAAAUACCACCCUUUAAUGUUUGAUGUUCUAACGUGGACCCGUUACCCGGGUUGCGGACAGUGUCUGGUGGGUAGUUUGACUGGGGCGGUCUCCUCCUAAAGAGUAACGGAGGAGCACGAAGGUUGGCUAAUCCUGGUCGGACAUCAGGAGGUUAGUGCAAUGGCAUAAGCCAGCUUGACUGCGAGCGUGACGGCGCGAGCAGGUGCGAAAGCAGGUCAUAGUGAUCCGGUGGUUCUGAAUGGAAGGGCCAUCGCUCAACGGAUAAAAGGUACUCCGGGGAUAACAGGCUGAUACCGCCCAAGAGUUCAUAUCGACGGCGGUGUUUGGCACCUCGAUGUCGGCUCAUCACAUCCUGGGGCUGAAGUAGGUCCCAAGGGUAUGGCUGUUCGCCAUUUAAAGUGGUACGCGAGCUGGGUUUAGAACGUCGUGAGACAGUUCGGUCCCUAUCUGCCGUGGGCGCUGGAGAACUGAGGGGGGCUGCUCCUAGUACGAGAGGACCGGAGUGGACGCAUCACUGGUGUUCGGGUUGUCAUGCCAAUGGCACUGCCCGGUAGCUAAAUGCGGAAGAGAUAAGUGCUGAAAGCAUCUAAGCACGAAACUUGCCCCGAGAUGAGUUCUCCCUGAGACUUAGAGUCUCCUGAAGGAACGUUGAAGACGACGACGUUGAUAGGCCGGGUGUGUAAGCGCAGCGAUGCGUUGAGCUAACCGGUACUAAUGAACCGUGAGGCUUAACCUU
This 2353-nucleotide ribosomal RNA is filed under the name Salmonella enterica subsp. enterica serovar Enteritidis. RNAcentral's name for it is "partial 23S ribosomal RNA". It matches the Rfam family "Bacterial large subunit ribosomal RNA", at positions 593 to 2925 of the family's 2925-position model. Lineage: Bacteria; Pseudomonadati; Pseudomonadota; Gammaproteobacteria; Enterobacterales; Enterobacteriaceae. The record is from RNAcentral.